Molecule: transfer RNA, 78 nt
Filed under: Clostridia bacterium
Lineage: Bacteria; Bacillati; Bacillota; Clostridia
Description: tRNA-Arg
Rfam family: tRNA
About the family: Transfer RNA (tRNA) molecules are approximately 80 nucleotides in length. Their secondary structure includes four short double-helical elements and three loops (D, anti-codon, and T loops).
Source: RNAcentral
GUCCCGGUAGCUCAAUUGGACUGGAGCGCCUCGCUACGGACGAGAAGGAUGUGGGUUCGAAUCCCCCUCGGGACGCCA